AUAAAAGCCGUGGCCUCUGCCCAUCUGCUCAUUGCCCAGUCCACUCCUCAGCUCUCCAGAUGUGUGGCUCAGGAGGGAGACAUGGAUGAAAUGGAAGCGGCUAUGCACGGCAGGAGGCUGGCCAGGAGCACCCAGGGAGACAAGGCCCCUCCCACAGGGAAGACCAAGGGACUGACUCCAAGGGAAAUGUGUUUUGAAGAGAAGGAGUAUGAUUGCCAUCCCUAUGAAAGGCGGAGAAAGAAGGGAAUCCUAGAGACUGCAGAGGCCUCUCACAGCAGAGAAGGGAUCACCAGGCCGAGCCUGGCGGCCAAGGGCUCCAGGCGCAAGCGCAGGAGAAGCCCUGAGGGCUCCCCUGGCAGUAGCUACCAAGAAAACGGACACAGAGAAGCGAAGGUGAGGAGACGACCAUCCCCAGUUAAGGGGAGACCAAAGGACAAGCACGACCCCAGCAGAGCAGGAUGUCCGUGCAGAGCAGAGAUUGGCUUGCUGCGCAACGGGUUCUGCCCACACCGCCCCGCAACUCAAGAACAGGAGGACCCUGCCCGGGUCUCCAGAGAGGACCGCCGGCCGCGGACGCCGCCAGGACAGGCGGGAGGCCGGGCCCGCCUCCCCAAAGUGCCGCCGCCACCUGUCGCCAGAAGCCCGCGCGCCCCUGUCGGGGCCCCUGUCCCGGCUCUUCAACCACGUGGGCGCGCUGGACGUGGCCCUGGGCGAGCUGCGGGCUCCCGGGGGCGCCUUCCUGCCGCUGCCCGCCCGCGGCCCGCAGCCGGCCGCCUCGCAGCGCGCCUGGCUCUCCUGGCAGCUGGCGCAGGCGGGGGCGACCCUGCACGGGGCGGGCGCGGCGCUCGACGCCCUGCUCGCCGCCGCUCAGCCCCGGCCCGCCUGCCCGCAGCCCUCCCUGCCGGCGGCUCCGCGGCCGUAGGGGCCGCGCCCCGAGCCCUAGCCCGCGUCCUCGCCCUUCCCCGGGCCGCUCCCGUCUGCCCCGGAGCCCGUCCAGACUCUGCCCUCCCGACUCCCCGAGCAAGGGUCCGUGGCGGCAUCUUGCACACCCAGGCGACGAGCUCCCUCCCACAGCGCGACACCAUCCACCUGUCUGGGAAACAGUGUUAGGCACCGACCAGACCUCCCUCCCUUCCUACCGGAUCCCCGCUCAGGGAAAGGGCUCCUCCUUUCCAGAAGACAGCGAAGAUGAGCGCUCAGAGGAAAACCUUUCUUCUCUUCUGGUGCCUCAGAUUAUCGAGAGUGACGCGAUUUGUGCCUUUUCAUCCCUUGAUGUUUUCCUAUUUAAGUUCAAAAGUAAAAUGCUUGAUAUAUGUAUGUAUAUAUAUAUGUGUGUGUAUAUAUAUAUAUAUAUAUUUCCGCCGUGGCUUCUACUGUAAAGCACA
This 1385-nucleotide long non-coding RNA is filed under the name Equus caballus (horse). RNAcentral describes it as "lncRNA (ENSECAG00000055428.1)". Lineage: Eukaryota; Metazoa; Chordata; Mammalia; Perissodactyla; Equidae. The record is from RNAcentral.